GACCAGACUCCUACGGGAGGCAGCAGUGGGGAAUAUUGCACAAUGGGGGAAACCCUGAUGCAGCGACGCCGCGUGAGUGAAGAAGUAUUUCGGUAUGUAAAGCUCUAUCAGCAGGGAAGAAAAUGACGGUACCUGACUAAGAAGCCCCGGCUAACUACGUGCCAGCAGCCGCGGUAAUACGUAGGGGGCAAGCGUUAUCCGGAUUUACUGGGUGUAAAGGGAGCGUAGACGGCAUGGCAAGUCAGAUGUGAAAGCCCGGGGCUCAACCCCGGGACUGCAUUUGAAACUGUCAGGCUGGAGUGCAGGAGAGGUAAGUGGAAUUCCUAGUGUAGCGGUGAAAUGCGUAGAUAUUAGGAGGAACACCAGUGGCGAAGGCGGCUUACUGGACUGUAACUGACGUUGAGGCUCGAAAGCGUGGGGAGCAAACAGGAUUAGAUACCCGCGUAC
Molecule: ribosomal RNA, 447 nt
Filed under: uncultured bacterium
Lineage: Bacteria
Description: bacterial SSU rRNA
Rfam family: Bacterial small subunit ribosomal RNA
Source: RNAcentral